RNAcentral lists this non-coding RNA (32 nucleotides) under Geobacter sulfurreducens KN400. The record is from RNAcentral. Lineage: Bacteria; Pseudomonadati; Thermodesulfobacteriota; Desulfuromonadia; Geobacterales; Geobacteraceae.
AUGGCACGGGUGAGGAGUUCCUGCAGCAUCUC